AGAACGACUCUCGGCAACGGAUAUCUCGGCUCUCGCAUCGAUGAAGAACGUAGCGAAAUGCGAUACUUGGUGUGAAUUGCAGAAUCCCGUGAACCAUCGAGUCUUUGAACGCAAGUUGCGCCCGAAGCCUUAGGGCCGAGGGCACGCCUGCCUGGGCGUCACGC
This 164-nucleotide ribosomal RNA is filed under the name Dyschoriste gracilicaulis. RNAcentral describes it as "5.8S ribosomal RNA". It matches the Rfam family "5.8S ribosomal RNA". Rfam says of the family: 5.8S ribosomal RNA (5.8S rRNA) is a component of the large subunit of the eukaryotic ribosome. It is transcribed by RNA polymerase I as part of the 45S precursor that also contains 18S and 28S rRNA. The record is from RNAcentral. Lineage: Eukaryota; Viridiplantae; Streptophyta; Magnoliopsida; Lamiales; Acanthaceae.